UAUGUGAUCGUCUCUCGCAUAUCAAUAAGCGGAGGAAAAGAAACUAACAAGGAUUCCCCUAGUAACGGCGAGUGAAGCGGGAAGAGCUCAAAUUUGAAAUCUUAAAGGGUUUCCCUUUACGAAUUGUAGUUUAAAGAAGUGUUUUCUGUUGAGGUUUUGGUAAAAGUUCUUUGGAAUAGGACAUCAUAGAGGGUGAGAAUCCCGUAUUUGACCUUUACUUUCAACUUUGUGAUACACUUUCAAAGAGUCGGAUUGUUUGGGAAUGCAGUCCAAAAUGGGUGGUAAAUUUCAUCUAAAGCUAAAUAUUGGCGAGAGACCGAUAGCGAACAAGUACCGUGAGGGAAAGAUGAAAAGAACUUUGAAAAGAGAGUUAAACAGUACGUGAAAUUGUCAAAAGGGAAGCGUUUGACACCAGUGUUGUUUUUCUGAAAAUCAAUUAAAGAACUGUUUAUGCUAAGCUGUUUAGGACUUUAUCAGCUAUCUGUUUAGUUUUGAGCUUUUCUUUAAUGCACUUUUCAGUUAACAAGUCAACAUCAAUUUCUUUUGCUGUAAAAAAGCUUGAGGAAGGUGGCUUGAGAUUCGUCUUAAGUGUUUAUAGCCUCUUGCCUAUGCAGUCGGAGAGAUUGAGGUCUGCAGCGUAGAUCCUUCGGGGCUAAAUGCAUUUGUGCUAAGUUAUAGCAUUUUAUAGACAACUUGUUGACUAUGAUUUGUCUUGUAGCUUACUCGCUUAUGUUAUUUUACCUACGCUUAGGAUGUUGAAGAUAUGCGCGACACG
RNAcentral lists this ribosomal RNA (775 nucleotides) under uncultured Neocallimastigales. RNAcentral describes it as "partial large subunit ribosomal RNA". It matches the Rfam family "Eukaryotic large subunit ribosomal RNA", at positions 24 to 644 of the family's 3401-position model. The record is from RNAcentral. Lineage: Eukaryota; Fungi; Neocallimastigomycota; Neocallimastigomycetes; Neocallimastigales.